RNAcentral lists this long non-coding RNA (1623 nucleotides) under Cricetulus griseus (Chinese hamster). Its description in RNAcentral is "lncRNA (ENSCGRG00015030979.1)". The record is from RNAcentral. Lineage: Eukaryota; Metazoa; Chordata; Mammalia; Rodentia; Cricetidae.
GGGACGCCUCACGGAGGAACAACUGCAACGGCACAGAAUCCCUGAUGCAGCUGCACAGCGCGUGCGGGGCCGCUUUUCCCGGGCCACGCCUGAGCCCCAGCAGCUAGCUGGGUAGCCGGGCGAGCCCCCCCACCCCCCACGCUCCGCUCCGCGCACGCGCCCUGGCCGCCCGCGAAGCCCGGGCACAGACGCCAGCGUCACCUCGCGCCGCCUCCGCCCUUCCUGCUUUCCGUUUCCUUCCCGCGCCUGCGCGGCUCCAAUUGUUUUGGCUUUCCGGUGGGGCCAAGGAAAAGGGCGCGGUGGACCCGAUGAAGGCGGGGUCCGGCCGCGGGCACCCGGGAGCCGGCAGAGCGGCUGCAGGCGCGGGCCAGGGCGCGGCGGAAGCGGCGGACGCGGGCGGUAGGCCGUGACGGCCCGACCCAGGAGGCGGGCGGAAGCGAGCGGCCCCGGGUCCCCGCAGCGCCACGCCCCCGCCGUGCGUGCGGCCGCGUGAGGACUGCAGCCCGGCGGAGCGGCGCGAAAUUGUCUUCUGUUGUGGAUGGAGAAACUGACUUCAGAAAAUGGAGUGUUAAUGGAAAAGUCUGGGUCAGUUUUCAUCAGUCAAGCCUGCAUCUCCCUUCUAUAGAGACAGUGAGUAAAGUGGAGACUACAGGAGUGGUAAUCCAAAUGCUAUCCUGUCUCAAUUCUGUACCGGCUGUUCUGUUCACAAAAUAGUUUAGGAGCUUGUCCUUAUGCUUGAGAUUACAUAGUUCGUAUCAUUAACCUGACUGACCUAUGUGCUCCUCUUCAGCUUGAGAAGGAAGAGACAUUUGGAACAGACUUCAAGUUUUAUUAGAACAGGGGAAAGUCCUGAAACUUUUUUUGGUUGUUUUGGUAACUUUAAAGGAAGCUGCUUCUGGCACCUGUUUAGUCCUCCCAAAGGAGUGACCACUUUCAAAAAGGCUUGUUCAUUGACUGUUAUCAUGGCACUGGCUUUAAUUUGUCUGCACUGACAUCAGCUAUGUCAAGGUGAAUCUUGUUGGGCUGAUAAAUUUCAUAACUUAUCAGAAAAUUCAGACAAGUCUGUGUGUCUUAAAAACUAAUUUCUCUUCACUAAAACACAACUUAAGAGCUUAGCAUGGUGGCUUGCGUGUGUGCUAUUGGCAUUGGAGAAAAUAAGGCAGGAAAGCCAAAUCAAGACAAUUCUGGGUUAUAUAGAGUGCUCCAGGACAGUCUGACCUAGAGUGAAACACUGUUUCAGAAAUAACACAAGUUUUAUCAAAAAAGAGGGAGCUGCAUUUGGGAUACUGUGACCUUGUAAGUGGACUCUGGGGCCAGUGUAGAGAUUAGGCCUUUCAGAAAGGGCUACAGAGUUUUGCCCGUGAUUGUCCUAAUCAAAAUUGUCCACAAUGUGUGCAGUGCUCUGCUUUGGGCAUUGUUGAAGUAUGAUACUCUAAUCCCUGAAAAAGCCAUGGAAGAGUUGUAUUUUUAUCCCUUUUUUAUGUAUGAGCAAACUGAGGUACAGAGUUAGUGAACUGCAGAAGACGGCUUUCCACCAAAGUAGUUUGAGUUUGUGCUUUUGCUUUUUCUGUGUGUUCGCGCCUGUACACACACACACACACACACACACACACACACACACAC